GGAGAACUACUUUUUACAUUAUCAAUUUGGGAUCUAAAAAACAAAACAAGUAAUUCAUAAUUUGGUCAAUCUGAUACAAAAAAUAGGUUAUAUUUAUUAUGACGUACCGAAACGGAGGGAUAAACUCCAUUCGGUAACAAAUAGAACCUAACACUAAUACCUACGUAUAACAUGAUAGUUAGUUAGCAGCAACAUACUAAAAUCCAGCGUAAAUUAAGUUUUAAAAUUUUGCAAAAAUUAAGAAACAAUUUCAAGGACAAAGGUGUAAAAAAUAACGUCANAAGGAUUAGGUCAAGUUACAUAA
RNAcentral lists this unclassified non-coding RNA (304 nucleotides) under chlamydia-associated clinical sample 586-S. RNAcentral's name for it is "intergenic spacer region". The record is from RNAcentral.